AUGAUGAGCAGCGUCUCCCCUCCGGCGCCGUCGCUCCCCUCCGGGGGUGGAAGCUUCUUCAGAGGGUACACGAAGCUCUGCAAGGGCCUCGCCGUCAUAUUGCUUCUCGUGCACCUCUUGGUCCAGCUGUUCCCAUCAGCCGUCAACUAUCUCGCGCUUAUCCCCGCAAGGACAAUCCCUUUCGCCUGGAACUUGAUUACUGCUGGCUAUGUCGAGCAAACAAUUCCAGGGGUGAUUAUCAGCAUCAUUGGUCUUCUUUUAUUUGGGAAAUUAUUAGAGCCUUUAUGGGGCACAAAGGAGUUAUCAAAGUUCGUUUUUAUUGUCAACUUCUCAACUUCAAUGUGUGUCUUCGUAACUGCUAUUGCUGUGUACUAUGUAACACAACAAGAGAGCUACCUCUACACUCCUCUUUCUGGUUUUUAUGGGGUUCUGUCAGGAUUGUUGGUGGGCAUCAAGCAACUUAUGCCAGAGAUGGAGCUUAAUCUUUUCGUGCUGAAGAUUAAGGGAAAGUGGAUCCCAUCACUUAUUGCACUGAUCUCCGUUGUUGUAAGCUUCUUCAUGAAGGACUUGGUAUCUUACCUCCCAGUUAUACUGUUUGGCAUUUAUAUGAGUUGGAUUUACCUGCGUUACUUCCAAAAGAGGCUAGAGACAGGCCUGAAAGGGGAUCCAAGCGAGGAGUUCUCUUUCUCAAGUUUCUUCCCUGCAAUUCUGAGACCAGUUCUGGAUCCAAUAGCCACAAUAUUCCAUAGGCUUCUGUGUGGAAGAUCUGAUAGGGCAGACCGGGGUCAGACAUUGGAAACGUCAUCAUUGCCGGGUUCAGAUUCUACUGAGGCAAACAGGAGGAGGGAAAGGGGUCAAAGGGCACUGGAGCAAAGAUUGGCUGAGAAGCUGGCUGCGGUCAAGAGUACAGAGAGCACGUCUCUCGACGCAUCCGACAAAGUUUGA
Molecule: ribosomal RNA, 945 nt
Filed under: Triticum aestivum (bread wheat)
Lineage: Eukaryota; Viridiplantae; Streptophyta; Magnoliopsida; Poales; Poaceae
Description: partial small subunit ribosomal RNA
Source: RNAcentral